GAUGAACGCUAGCGGCAGGCUUAAUACAUGCAAGUCAAGGGGUCAGCAAUGGCACCGGCGGACGGGUGAGUAACGCGUACACAACGUACCUUUAACUGGGGGAUAGCAUCUGGAAACGGGUGGUAAUACCGCAUGUGGUUGCGAGGAGGCAUCUCUUUGUAACUAAAACUUAGGUGGUUAGAGAUCGGUGUGCGUCUGAUUAGCUAGUUGGUAGGGUAGAGGCCUACCAAGGCGACGAUCAGUAGGGGGCGUGAGAGCGUGAACCCCCACACGGGUACUGAGACACGGACCCGACUCCCACGGGAGGCAGCAGUAAGGAAUAUUGGUCAAUGGAGGGAACUCUGAACCAGCCAUGCCGCGUGAAGGAAGACGGCCUUAUGGGUUGUAAACUUCUUUACUAUGCGACUAACUAGAUUUACGAGAUAAUUCUAUAGAAUGUAGCAUAGCAAAAGCACCGGCUAACUCCGUGCCAGCAGCCGCGGUAAGGAGUAGUACA
This 496-nucleotide ribosomal RNA is filed under the name uncultured bacterium. RNAcentral's name for it is "bacterial SSU rRNA". It matches the Rfam family "Bacterial small subunit ribosomal RNA", at positions 28 to 536 of the family's 1533-position model. The record is from RNAcentral.